Camelina sativa (false flax) is the source of this 2345-nucleotide non-coding RNA. The record is from RefSeq and is a predicted model, not a curated record. NCBI's taxonomy places the organism in Eukaryota, Viridiplantae, Streptophyta, Magnoliopsida, Brassicales, Brassicaceae.
UUCGCCUCUUUUGUUUAUAAAUUAUCUGACGACUCUCACUCAGUAUCUGGAGAACACAAAGUUAUAGGGAGUAGGGAUCACAGACUCUUCAAUUCAGAGAGAGAGAGAGAGAGAGAGAGAGAGAGAGUGAGCGACGAGAAAGAAAGAGAGCGAGAGAGCGACGAGAGAGAGAGUUCGAAUCUUCUAGUGGCGGCGGCGACAUGAUGAAGAACAAGUCAAGAAGAAGAGGAGGACGAUGAUUUACUCAGAUUUAUUUGUUUGGAGGAUGACUAUUACAAAAACGGUGUCCGUCGGGCGUUCUCUUACAGUAAAAACAACAUCAAAACUGUUCGAUUCAAAGAAGGGUAACAAUGAUUGUUAAAAACGUAAAGCUACAGUUUUUGAUGUAUGUCCGAGUAUCAUUCUUAGCCAUCGCAAGGCCACGAGAGAGAGAGAGAGAGCCAAAACAACUCAAAACUUCUCUAGAUGAUGGAGAUAUAUUUAUGCUGGUUCACUUCCUCCUUCCCAUUACUGUUUAGGAUGAUGCUGAAUUAUGGACCAAAACAAUGGCAAUGAAGUCCGCUUCUUAUUGCUCUGUGCAACUGGAGUGUGAGGGAUUAUGACCUUAACCAUGGAAUACUCCUCUUCUUGCUCUGUAAGUAAGGUGCUACUGAAGUUGGAACUCGACAAGGCACCAGAAUUCAAAGCAGCACCCUUUGAACAAAAAAGUUACUUGUCAUUGCCUCAUCCCAACAAUUCCCUUCCACAGGUGUGUGUGUGUGUAUGUUCGUGUUCCAACCAGGAUGAUGAUUUUGUUUGUGGACAACAAGGUGCUACUGAAGUGUUAAGGAUUAUGACCAUGGAACACCCCUCUUCUUGCUCUGUGCUAAUGAAGUGGAACUCGACAAGGCCCCAGAAUUCAAAGCACCAAUAUUUGAACAAAAAGGUACUUGUCAUGGCCUCAUCCCAACAAUUCCCUUCCACAGGUGUGUGUUCGUGUGUUCCAGCCAGAUUAUUUGGAGGAUGACGUAGAUUCAGACCAAAAAUGGUCGCGGGUGGUCGUUCUUACAGUGACAACAUCAAACUGAUUUUCUAAGCUUCUCUAGAUGAUGAAGAUAUACGGAGGUUCACUUUCUUUCCAUUGAUGUUAAGUUCGAUGCUGACUUAUGGACCCAAACGAUGGAAAAUAAAUCCUCUUCUUAUUGCUCUGUGCUACUGAAGUGUUAGGGAUUAUGACCAAGACCAUGGAAUACCCCUCUUCUUGCUCUGUGCUACUGAAGUGGAACUCGGCAAGGCACCAGAAUUGUCUCAAGCCAAAGGCCGCAGUAAUGUAUAAAGGGAAACGAGUGUUAAAUACUGGAAAAUUAUGACAUGUGAGCCAAUUAUUGUUUCAAAAUCAGCAAGGACUUCACCCCAUAGCACCAGCUUUUGCCUGCACCACAAAGAAGUUUCCACAUCUGCCAUAAUUCAAGGGGCUUCAUCUUCAAACAAUUGCAUUGACUAAUAAUAAUGCAGAGACAUCUUCAAUAACAGCUUCAACGGAAGUUUCUCAAGUGGAGAAUCAAAAUGUAGAACUCUGUGAUUACUUUGAGGAUUAUGAAAGUUUAGACUACCUGGUAUUUAUACUUUUGAGGUAAGAUUUACAAAGUUUAGAUUUAUCACAUUUUCGUUCGUGAUCAAGUCUAGGUUCAAGAUUGGAUUUAUGUAAAACAACAUCAAAUUGCUCGAUUCGAAGGGACAGUGAGACAGAGAGAGAGAGAGAUGGAGAGAGCAAACAGACCUGAAGUUGGAACUCCACAAGGCACCAUAAUUCAACGCAUAGCCUUUGAACAAAGAGGUGCUUGUCAUUGCCUCAUGUCAAAAAUUCCCUUCCACAGGUGCGUGUUCGUGUGUUCAAGAACCUUUUUUUUUGGAGGGAUGAAGUAGAUUCAGACGAAAAACGGUUGCCGGCGGGCGUUCUUGCAGUAACAACAUCAUACUGAUUUUUAGAGGGAAACGAGUGUUAAUGACGUAGCACUGCAUAAUCGUAUGCAAAAGUUCAUGACCAAAUCUUCUUCUUGCUCUGAAUGAAUCAAAAGAGCGAUAAAAAAAGUGUGGGAGGAGCAGUAGAAAAAAGAAGUAUGGGAUGCUCGUUGGGUUUGGCAACGUGUCUAUGAUACAAUCAUACAGCGGCUAUAUGUCAAUUUUUUUACAUGGCGUCGUGAGUGAGCCUUGAGAGGGACGUAGAUGUUUACAUGAUCGAAGAUAUUGUUGACUUUACACGUGAGAGGGAUUAACGACGUAAAAUUACACAAUUCAUAAAUAAGAUCAUUUUAAAAUUCAUAAAAUUAACAACAAUUCAUAAAUAAGAUCAUUUACAACAAUUC